UACGGGGGGAGCAAGCGUUGUUCGGAUUUACUGGGCGUAAAGGGCGCGUAGGCGGCUUAACAAGUCACUUGUGAAAUCUCCGGGCUUAACUCGGAACGGCCAAGUGAAACUGUCAAGCUAGAGUGCAGAAGGGGCAAUCGGAAUUCUUGGUGUAGCGGUGAAAUGCGUAGAUAUCAGGAGGAACACCUGAGGUGAAGACGGGUUGCUGGGCUGACACUGACGCUGAGGCGCGAAAGCCAGGGGAGCAAACGGG
This 253-nucleotide ribosomal RNA is filed under the name uncultured bacterium. RNAcentral's name for it is "partial 16S ribosomal RNA". It matches the Rfam family "Bacterial small subunit ribosomal RNA", at positions 524 to 776 of the family's 1533-position model. The record is from RNAcentral.